RNAcentral lists this ribosomal RNA (465 nucleotides) under uncultured bacterium. RNAcentral's name for it is "partial 16S ribosomal RNA". It matches the Rfam family "Bacterial small subunit ribosomal RNA", at positions 28 to 507 of the family's 1533-position model. The record is from RNAcentral.
GAUGAACGCUGGCGGCGUGCUUAACACAUGCAAGUCGAACGGAAAGGCUCCUGCUUGCAGGGGUACUCGAGUGGCGAACGGGUGAGUAACACGUGGGUGAUCUGCCCUGCACUUCGGGAUAAGCCUGGGAAACUGGGUCUAAUACCGGAUAGGACGAUGGUUUGGAUGCCAUUGUGGAAAGUUUUUCGGUGUGGGAUGAGCUCGCGGCCUAUCAGCUUGUUGGUGGGGUAAUGGCCUACCAAGGCGUCGACGGGUAGCCGGCCUGAGAGGGUGUACGGCCACAUUGGGGCUGAGAUACGGCCCAGACUCCUACGGGAGGCAGCAGUGGGGAAUAUUGCACAAUGGGCGCAAGCCUGAUGCAGCGACGCCGCGUGGGGGAUGACGGCCUUCGGGUUGUAAACUCCUUUCGCUAGGGACGAAGCGCAAGUGACGGUACCUGGAGAAGAAGCACCGGCUAACUACGUG